UAUUUAAUCCUCAUAAAUAGUAGAUAACGGAAGUUAUCUUUAAAAAGGAAUCGUGUGAAAAUCACGAGCUGUCGCGCAACUGUAAGUAACUUCCCAGUUGCAACCCGAGAAUGUCCAUUGUCCCAUAAGGAUGAGAAGGAUGGUUGCAAUGUUACAAGCCAGGAGACUUGCUUUUUAUGACAAGGUUUA
This 189-nucleotide non-coding RNA is filed under the name Pseudopedobacter saltans. RNAcentral also lists the same sequence under 1 other name. Lineage: Bacteria; Pseudomonadati; Bacteroidota; Sphingobacteriia; Sphingobacteriales; Sphingobacteriaceae. The record is from RNAcentral.